RNAcentral lists this ribosomal RNA (266 nucleotides) under uncultured bacterium. Its description in RNAcentral is "partial 16S ribosomal RNA". It matches the Rfam family "Bacterial small subunit ribosomal RNA", at positions 793 to 1055 of the family's 1533-position model. The record is from RNAcentral.
GUCCACGCCGUAAACGAUGAAUGCCAGCCGUUAGUGGGUUUACUCACUAGUGGCGCAGCUAACGCUUUAAGCAUUCCGCCUGGGGAGUACGGUCGCAAGAUUAAAACUCAAAGGAAUUGACGGGGGCCCGCACAAGCGGUGGAGCAUGUGGUUUAAUUCGACGCAACGCGCAGAACCUUACCAGCCCUUGACAUCCCGGUCGCGGACUCCAGAGAUGGAGUUCUUCAGUUCGGCUGGACCGGAGACAGGUGCUGCAUGGCUGUCGU